UACAUGCUGCAUAAUCAACGGGAUUUGUACUGUUUUUUUAAAUGGCGUAGGAGUUUAUUUAGAUUCACGCGACAUAAUACAUGUAUAGAUGCUAUCGAACAUAGCAUAAGCAUACCUAAAUGGUUAAUAUGCCAUAAUGAUGUAUAAAUCUUGCAGAAUUAACUCUAGGAUUUUUAGCAGCUACCGACCCAGAUAAACGGAUAAAGCCAUAAAGCCCUUCUCUUUGAUAUUCAUAAGACGCGGAUAACAAAAGAAACGAAGAACAACCCAAACGGCUAGCUGUAUAUAAUUGAUGGACUUGGAAACAAAAUAGAAACUAUAACAAGCUGGAUGAUUGAUGACACUGUCACAAAAUAACAACAAAGUACAUACUCUACUUUUUAGGACAUGAUGUACGGGACAAUCAACGCCAUGUUUACAAGUGUACCUUAAUAGUUAUGAGAAAUCAGAAUCAUCGCCAGCUUUACAAAAUAGAUGGCCUUUACUUUGGGAGUACACGUGACAGUUAAAAUGACCCGUCGUCUCGCUGGUUCUUCUAUUGAAUACCAGAAGUGAUUUAUUGCAGUUCGCAGAAACGGCUUCGAUUUUUUAAGGAAAGUUGCCAAAAGGGAUGCUUUCGUUUCGUAAGCAGUAAAAUCCUCGAUUGAUUUUUUUUAAUCUUUAAAAAGCCAAUACGGUGUAGGCUACUUUAGCAGUUAACGAUUGGAAUUGAAUAAACCGUUAGCAAGUAAGGGAUUGUGCAUCGGGGAGCGUUUCUUAAUAUUGGGGUUCACUGUCAAUAUUUCGAGUGAAAUCACUAGAUAACUUGUGCUGGAAAGCAAUCAGGUUGGAAGUGUUUUGUAAUUGUUUUCAUCAUCUAAUUGUGUUGUGCCAGUGUUGCGGCAGCUGUCAGUGACGGAUCAGUUGAAACUCUCUUUGUGUUCAGAUUCUAAGCGCGAGCGAUUUCUAGACGGUCUUUUAUUUUUAUCUCCACCGACCGAAUAUCAUCUAUGUAACUUCAUUUAAAGUGCGUAUUGGGUUUAUGUUGGACAGUACCAGUUAUAUAGCAGACUGUCUCCACAUUCAUUAUGGGAUAUUGACGGAAUUGUUUACAUUUGAUAAAAGAAUAUUUUAUGAUUUGAUAACAGAUGAUAUGAAUGUAGAAGGUUAUAGUACAGCGCCCUGGAGAACCACUGGAUUAACUUAUACUAUGUAGAUACCGGUGUAUUUAAAAGAUGAUUGUUGUAUUUGACUUGUUGGUUGUGUGAUGAACUAAUACGUGAUUUUUGUUAUCUUUGGUGAUUUGAUGAACUAAUACAUAAAUUUGUUAUGUGUGGAUGGUAAAACU
Patella vulgata (common limpet) is the source of this 1327-nucleotide long non-coding RNA. RefSeq lists it as uncharacterized. The transcript is spliced from 3 exons. The record is from RefSeq and is a predicted model, not a curated record. NCBI's taxonomy places the organism in Eukaryota, Metazoa, Mollusca, Gastropoda, Patellidae.